GAUGAACGCUGGCGGCGUGCCUAAUACAUGCAAGUCGAGCGAACAGAUAAGGAGCUUGCUCCUUUGACGUUAGCGGCGGACGGGUGAGUAACACGUGGGUAACCUACCUAUAAGACUGGAAUAACUCCGGGAAACCGGGGCUAAUGCCGGAUAACAUUUAGAACCGCAUGGUUCUAAAGUGAAAGAUGGUUUUGCUAUCACUUAUAGAUGGACCCGCGCCGUAUUAGCUAGUUGGUAAGGUAACGGCUUACCAAGGCAACGAUACGUAGCCGACCUGAGAGGGUGAUCGGCCACACUGGAACUGAGACGCGGUCCAGACUCCUACGGGAGGCAGCAGUAGGGAAUCUUACGCAAUGGGCGAAAGCCUGACGGAGCAACGCCGCGUGAGUGAUGAAGGUCUUCGGAUCGUAAAACUCUGUUAUUAGGGAAGAACAAAUGUGUAAGUAACUGUGCACGUCUUGACGGUACCUAAUCAGAAAGCCACGGCUAACUACGUG
RNAcentral lists this ribosomal RNA (497 nucleotides) under uncultured bacterium. RNAcentral describes it as "partial 16S ribosomal RNA". It matches the Rfam family "Bacterial small subunit ribosomal RNA", at positions 28 to 507 of the family's 1533-position model. The record is from RNAcentral.